GUUCAGGCUUGGGAUCUAUCACCAGGCCAUCCCAUGUUAGUGCUACAUUGGUAUAAGACAGCCCGUGCUAACUGUCCCGUUCGUAUGAAGAUAACAAAAGUGCCUUUCACCAGUAUCUGUGGUCGCAUGAAGUGAGGYGAACAACCGUUUGCAAGCUGGCAAGUAGAUUAUGUAGGCCCGUUGCCCCCCUCACAGGGACAAAAGCAUAUAUUAACUGCUGCAGACAUUUACCCAGGCCUUAUGUACGCAUAUCCUACCUCCUAGGCGAAUCAAUCCUCUACUGUACGGGGCUUAGAGCAACUCAUGUAUACUUACGGUAUACCAAAAGAAAUACGGAGUGACCAAGGUACCCACUUUGCAGGCCAUGUAGUACAAGAAUGGGCAAAAAAAAAAAAAAAAGUUGAUAUUUCUGUUACUCUCAUGAAUUUAUACGAUUUGGGCAUUGUUUCCCAAAAGACAACACCUUGGCCUUACUCUUUUCGUAUAGCUAACAUAUCUAAAGCAUAUAUUGGCUUUUGCUUUGUAAAUGCUUCCUCUGUUCUGCGGAAUGUAACCAAUACACAGUUAAUUUGUAAUGACACUGUGAAUAUUACCUAUGUGCCUGCUCACCUUAUACUACCAUUCGGGUGGUUCCUUCUGUGUGGCACUACAGCGUAUACCUAUGUGCUGGCCAACGCCACAGGUGGCCCAUGCACUGUAGGUCAUGUUACUUUAAGCAUCCUUCCCUUUAUGACGGAGCAGUGAAGGACCUUGCGGCAUAUCCUAGCAGCAGCAACACUGGAGGUGUAGAGGCAAUACAUACACCUACAGUGUGCUCAUGAUAUAGCAGACUCUUAUUUGUGCGUUGCACAUGGUUACUUGUGUCUGCCUAGAAGAACAUGGGUGGAGAAGGGGGYUGCAAACUGAAGGAGGUCAGGAAGGAAGUGACAGGCACAAAUGUGAGUGCAGAGGGCCAUUACAGGGAAGGGCUUUUCAAAGGGGCCUCCAGGAGCCAGGUCUCUCUCAU
Molecule: long non-coding RNA, 1006 nt
Filed under: Apteryx haastii (Great spotted kiwi)
Lineage: Eukaryota; Metazoa; Chordata; Aves; Apterygiformes; Apterygidae
Description: lncRNA (ENSAHAG00000008194.1)
Source: RNAcentral